This 505-nucleotide ribosomal RNA is filed under the name uncultured bacterium. Its description in RNAcentral is "partial 16S ribosomal RNA". It matches the Rfam family "Bacterial small subunit ribosomal RNA", at positions 29 to 522 of the family's 1533-position model. The record is from RNAcentral.
AGUGAACGCUGGCGGCAGGCCUAAUACAUGCAAGUCGAACGGCAGCACAGCAGGGCUUGCUCUGUGGGUGGCGAGUGGCGGACGGGUGAGGAAUACGUGGGAAUCUGCCCAGUCGUGGGGGAUAACGUAGGGAAACUUACGCUAAUACCGCAUGCGCCCUUUGGGGGAAAGCCGGGGAUCUUCGGACCUGGCGCGAUUGGAUGAGCCCACGUCGGAUUAGCUAGUUGGAGGGGUAAAGGCCCACCAAGGCGACGAUCCGUAGCUGGUCUGAGAGGAUGAUCAGCCACACUGGAACUGGGACACGGUCCAGACUCCUACGGGAGGCAGCAGUAGGGAAUAUUGGACAAUGGGCGCAAGCCUGAUCCAGCCAUGCCGCGUGAGUGAAGAAGGCCCUCGGGUUGUAAAGCUCUUUUGUUGGGGAAGAAAAGCCUUGGGUUAAUACCCUGAGGUUCUGACGGUACCUAAAGAAUAAGCACCGGCUAACUUCGUGCCAGCAGCCGCCGUA